GUGCUUACCACUCGUAUAUUGCCACAUUCGUUGUUCAGUAAAAAAGUGAAACCGCAACAAACAUGAAUUUCCACGCAUUAUUCAGGGCAUCCGCAUUUUUCACUCGAGUCAUCGUGAUUUUGUUCGUGACUGUGGAAUCGUUAUCAGUGGAUCUUCAACCAAGCGGGCAGAAUUUAUCAGCUCUUAGUCCCUCAACAAAUGAGUCCAAAAAUAAUGCAGAAAAAAACGUUUCAGCUUCGUCCACGAAACAAGAAAUCAAAUCGUAUCUUCUCUCAAUACGAUCUCGCAUCUCUCGUGAAACGUACGAUUAUUUAUCAACAGAUGUACUAUCGGAAGUCGAUCUCUUUCGAUAUUCGAUCCGUAAAACAAACAACUCAUCUUUCGGAUACAUCAUAAAGGUUAUCGACGACGUAAACAUGGUUUUGAACUCAAAUACACUUCCUGAGAGCUACAUUCCUUAUGUUCGAGCUCUGAAAUCAAUUCUUAGGAUGCAGAUUAAACUUGCAAACUCCAAAGAAGACAUAUUGAAAAUUCAGAAGACAUGUCUGACAAAUCCAAAAGACUAUUCAUCCAUACCAUCUGAUUUAUUAUCACCACCGGAGCUAUCUGGUACAGGAUUAUUUUCUUACGACAUCCUGUCCGAUCCUAAUCCACCUCUCCGUCUUCUCAAUAAAGUAUUCCGUAUUCCAAAAAAAGGUAUUAUAGAGUUGAGAACUCGUUUGGAAAAUUUUAAACAAAGAGUAGAGAACUCAUACAAAUACGCUCGCCAGGUAUGGUGGCCAUACACUUGGUACGGUAAUAGUUUGGGUAUACUUUUUGAAGAAGACUUUGUUUUUGACGAUUUAAAACGUGACAUGGACUACCUUCGACUUGUAUCAACUGCUGCAAAAGGGCCGAUUGACAGUGGCGGAAUUGAAAAUGAGACAAAUUGACCAGCUUUUUCCAUUUCCAUUUGCAUCAUAGUUAUCAUCGCUAUUCCAAUGAUGUGUCAAUGGCUGAAAGUUUGAACCCAUAUGUAUGUAAGUAUAAGAAGCAAGACAAACUCAUAUAGUGGGUAACAACUCACUGAUACGAUUCAAAACUCCUAUAUUCACAGUAGUAUGGCAUGUACAUAAAUAAAAUG
This is a long non-coding RNA of Planococcus citri (citrus mealybug), 1123 nucleotides long. RefSeq lists it as uncharacterized. NCBI's taxonomy places the organism in Eukaryota, Metazoa, Arthropoda, Insecta, Hemiptera, Pseudococcidae. The transcript is spliced from 3 exons. The record is from RefSeq and is a predicted model, not a curated record.